Non-coding RNA from Pelodiscus sinensis (Chinese soft-shelled turtle), 3882 nucleotides. The record is from RefSeq and is a predicted model, not a curated record. Lineage: Eukaryota; Metazoa; Chordata; Testudines; Trionychidae.
CAACUUACUUUAAUUCUGGAAAUUUUAGUUAUUUAAAGCAAUUUAUUAGUGGUGAUGAAAGAUACUGUAUUUUCAUAAAAUAUAAAUACAUUAAUGUAAAUAAAGUAUAUCAUCAUGUAAUGUCUAAAGUGCCAAAAAAUUGAAAUGAAGGAAGAAACAAAAAAAUCCCAAUUUAACAGUUUUUUACAGACCUGUUUCACGUAGGAAAUAUGAAAAUUCUGGCGCACUUGUGAACUUCUAAAUUAUGUUUUGGUUAGAUGAGUUACAGUCUUUCUGCCUGUAUACAGUGAGAAGCGCAAUGUGUGUAAUUUGUGUGUGUUUUUACUUCAUUAAUAUAUCAGAUAGGUAAAAGCAAUUUUUCAGUGUAUAGAAAAAUAACUUUCCAAAGGGAGAACAACAAAAGUGCAAAGUAAAUAUAUUUUUUUUAAUGCACUGUUACAUAGACAUACGUAGGUGUACCAAUAUCUGUCUGGUUUCAGUAUGAUCUGAAGAAAUCAAACGAACUGCAUUGCUCACUAUUUUUAUGAAUAUUUAGUAAUCCAAAAAGAGACCAUUUUGAUAGUAACCUAGUAAAACAGUGAAAUGCUAAUACAGUGAAGACUUACGGAACGUAAGAGGGAAUCCGUCUUUGGUAGGCUUUAAGCAAAGUGAUCCAAAUGUGAAGAAUAUAAUUAAAUUACUGCAUGUUUAUUAUACUUUAAUGAAUCUGACAAAAAUAUCACAACAAAAACCCAUACUUUUUCUUUCUGUUCUUAACAAACAUUCAUUUUAGGAAUUCAGGUUCCAGAUUCUUACCUUAUUUAAAACUGGAUGGGAUAAUGGUGAAAAAAGUGGAAUGAAGAAGUUCUUCCAUUCUGCAGUUUUUAAGAAAAAACGGGAUCCUGGGAAUUUUACUGAUGUUCUGAAGUACAGUCCUGUCAAAAAAGAAAUGAAAUUGUGUCCGAGGAAUCAUAGUUGCAGAACAAACUGAUGCAUCAUUGCAUUCUGUCAAGGUGCGUUGGGAAGGUAAACCUAAUUAGCCAAUAACCUUUAAAGGUCUAGGCUGGUGGUGUUAGAUAUAUGGAAUUCCUACUAAGAUGAACCUGUAAUUAACAACAAGAGAUAGUCCUUAGACAAAACUUUCUCAGGGAGCCUCAGAGGGGUAGCCAUGUUAGUAUGUAUAUUCAAAAACAACUAGUCGUCCUGUGGCACCUUAGAGAUUAACAAAAAUAUAUAUAGUAUCAUGAACUUUUGUGGGCAAAACUCACUCAUCUGAAGAAGUGGUUUUUGCCCACAAAAGUUGAUGAACAUUUGUUGUUUCUCAGGGAAGAUGCUCUUAACUGACCGUCUUUACUUCAGUCCUGACUUUUGCAGUAUCGAGAAUGCAAAGUGGCUAGUUAAACAAGAAAACAAAAACCUCGCUGUACUGCAUGAGAUGAUUAAUAGCAUUAUGCCAUUUCAAAUAAUUGCUCUUUUGGCUUGCAUUGGUAAGAAUAGUUUCUUAUCUCUGUAUUUUACUGUACAUUUCAACUGGCCUUGUGCUCCUCUUCCAAAUAACCCUAUUUACAUUGUGAAAAUUCACUUCCUCUUUUCUCCAAAGGGCUUGUGCUAAUAGAUGGGCAGUGGUUUGGAAAUGUCACCCUUCUUUUAAGAGGCAGGAUCUAUUUGCCCUCUUGGCUUAUAGAUUUGAGAGUUCUGCACCUCCAGCUUCUGGAGAUGAUCAUUCUAUAACUUGAAACUCAAUCUAGAAUCAAAACAGAUUUCUAGAACUGAGAGCUUGUUUCUUUGACAGUAUUAAACUAACCCACUUACCCUUUUGAGUAUUUUUUUUACUCUCUUAAACAGGCUAAGCAGGUACAGCCAAGCAAGAUAUUGCUAGAGGAACAAUAAGAAAAAGGGUAAAGUAGCAUUCACCCUUUUAGAGUUGUUUGACUGACAAUGCCAGUACUAAAGUGAGAAAGCAAGUUAUAUCUGCUGGCCAAAAAUCAGUAUUGUAAAUUUGCAUGAAUUCAGCACACACUAUUAGAGCUUUUGCAUUCCUAUUUUAAAGUUCUGUUAAAGGGGGGCGGGGUAACAUGGACCUGAAAAAUGUAUUUAGAAUGCUUAGCACAGGUGAGAGCAUACUGUUGGUGGGAGACAUCUUAAUGCCAUAUUUCUAACACUGUUCCUAUUUUUUCCCCAUGACAAGCCCUAAAAAGGUGAGUAGGAGGAACAUACAUACCUGUUAGUAUCGCACCUAUCUUUUUUUAUCACGUGAAAAUGUGAAAAAGCUUAACAUACAUGUGUUUCUAUCUUCAAUACAUCUGUACUAAUGCGUAGGCUAACUUGUAAUUACAUCUUAAGUUUGUACACUAUGAAGUUGGGGACCUCACAAGAAACAUAUUCCACACUUCUCCUCUUCUCCCCCCCCUUGCCUUUUCCAAAAGUGUGAUGUUCUCCAUCUGCAGAGGCAGCUGUGAUAAUUCGUAUUUCAAAGGGGAAAUCUGAGUGAUAUGGACCUGAGAGAGAACUUGUUGCUUCAAAUUAUGUCCUGAAAGUGAGUCUGAAGGAAUCUGGAUUCUCUAAAUUGAAAUAAUUCAGGGAAACACUUUAACACUAUAACUAUUUCUUACCCAGGUAUCAGCUUUUAAGAUGCCCCUAUCACUGAGCCCCAUAUAUGCAAGGUACCCACACGAAAAGCUGUAGACUAUUCAUAUUUCCCAAUAGCCUGUUUCAUAGGGCCAGACAAGUAGUACAGGGCAGAGCAGGAGCAGGAGACCUGGCUGAUCUGAAAAUGUAGUUAACUGCAGCAAGUCCACUAGGUAUUUGGGGCAAAUGAAUUAGGUUUUUGGGUUUGUUUGUUUAUUUAUUUAUUUAUUUAUUUAUUUAAUGACUGUAGUCCUGAUGCUCUUAAAUAACUACUUGUUCUCUUUUCUAGUUACAGGCUUUCUGGUAGAACAGAAUGGAAGAACAUUUUAACUUGUGUGUAAUAUGUCAUUGUUAAGAAUGUCUUCAAUGUAUUGCGUUAUGCGCUUCGGUCCCUUAUAUCAUGUUUUAAAAUAAUCAAAAUACCAUUUGGAAUUUCACCAUUGUUGGGCUUUGAGGAGAUGUAGCAGCACAUCAUGGUUUGUAGGGACAAGGAGAUACAGACCAUGCUGGGCUGCCUCAUUACCUCAAGGAUAGACAAGAAAGGGAGCUUCUGGGUGUCAGCCGUGGAAGCUGCCACCUUCUCAUGUCUCUCUUAGGUCAGUUGAACAGGUAUGUUUAAAUAUGUUUAGUAGUGCUGUCACAUGUACCCUUUUUUCCAGCCUGCGAAGAUAAUUGUUUUUAUGUAUUGGUGUGGUGAAUUUGCCUAAAACAAAACACAUUGUGUUAUUUUAGCUCAUUGACCUGAUCCCAGGCCAUGUGAUUGUUCAAUAUUUCAUUAAUCUCCAAUAUCAGCAAUAGCUUCAUCUUAAUACACUAAAUCAUCUUCAAUGUUGUGUCUCCAGUUGGCUUAUACCAGUUGCACAUGGCUUGACUUAAUCCUGCUUCCUGUUUUGUUCAGCAUUCUUUCCUCCAUUGUAAGACAAAUUAGAAGUGCUAUGACAACCUGCAGGGAUUGUUAAAAAAAAGGGGGGGGGGUUCUGGAAGUCCUGGAGACCUCUUUACCGUGGAAGUAUGUCAGCAGUGCUCUAGCAGCACGUAAAUACUGGAGUUUAGGAUUGCCUAGCUGCUCUCCAGUAUUGCGUUGCUGCUUUAGUGAGGCUGGAUAGGUGCCCCCGGCAGAAACCAGCCUGUAGUGCCGAGGGCAACAAAAGGACGUUAUCGCACUGUUCAGUUUGGAGAGAUGCUGUACAAUCAGGUUUUUGUCGGGGUGCGGUGGUAAGAGGUUUCCCUGUCUGUAGUUCUAACUUAAAAUGAUAUGAAGGUGGGAAAAAUUGA